Molecule: small RNA, 408 nt
Filed under: Histoplasma capsulatum
Lineage: Eukaryota; Fungi; Ascomycota; Eurotiomycetes; Onygenales; Ajellomycetaceae
Also listed under: 1 other name
Description: hypothetical RNA
Source: RNAcentral
CACUCAAAUGCAAAAUAAUUACCCGUCCAUUUACUGACUUAAGCCUUCAAGGAAUCCUACUAGUACCACUUCACAUGUUUCGCAUUACUUUUUGGCCUGUCUCUUCCUUACAUAUGUAGCACCCUGCACCGCUCAUACCAUGCAAUAUUUUCAUCAGAUCACAAGAUGUCAUUAUCCAUGAUGUGAAAGGAAAUCUGAUUACCAGAUAGAUGCCUGUUAUUAUUGACAACCGAGGAGAAAGUUAUGUUUUGGUUGAUCCAGGGGUUGGGAGUGCACUCUGUGCUGCCAGCGCUGUUACAAUAGCUUCCGUAGCUACUGCUGAAGAUAGCUGAAGAUAGAUGUAAACUUAGAUUUUUCCAUGAUUCACAACACUUUGGGUUUGUUAUCCCCACCUCUAUGUCCCAUGCC